CCUACGGGCGGCAGCAGUGGGGAAUAUUGGACAAUGGGGGGAACCCUGAUCCAGCCAUGCCGCGUGUGUGAAGAAGGCCCUCGGGUUGUAAAGCACUUUCAGUGAGGAAGAACGCCUGGUGGUUAAUACCCAUCAGGAAAGACAUCACUCACAGAAGAAGCACCGGCUAACUCCGUGCCAGCAGCCGCGGUAAUACGGAGGGUGCGAGCGUUAAUCGGAAUUACUGGGCGUAAAGCGCGCGUAAGUGGCUUGAUAAGCCGGUUGUGAAAGCCCCGGGCUCAACCUGGGAACGGCAUCCGGAACUGUCAAGCUAGAGUGCAGGAGAGGAAGGUAGAAUUCCCGGUGUAGCGGUGAAAUGCGUAGAGAUCGGGAGGAAUACCAGUGGCGAAGGCGGCCUUCUGGACUGACACUGACACUGAGGUGCGAAAGCGUGGGUAGCAAACAGGAUUAGAUACCCUAGUAGUC
This 465-nucleotide ribosomal RNA is filed under the name Vreelandella stevensii. RNAcentral describes it as "partial 16S ribosomal RNA". It matches the Rfam family "Bacterial small subunit ribosomal RNA", at positions 338 to 795 of the family's 1533-position model. Lineage: Bacteria; Pseudomonadati; Pseudomonadota; Gammaproteobacteria; Oceanospirillales; Halomonadaceae. The record is from RNAcentral.